This 1508-nucleotide ribosomal RNA is filed under the name metagenome. RNAcentral describes it as "bacterial LSU rRNA". It matches the Rfam family "Bacterial large subunit ribosomal RNA", at positions 1271 to 2911 of the family's 2925-position model. The record is from RNAcentral.
CCUUAGAUCAGAAGCGAGAAUGUUGACAUGAGUAGCGACAAAGAGGGUGAGAGACCCUCUCGCCGUAAGUCCAAGGGUUCCUGCUUAAAGCUAAUCUGAGCAGGGUAAGCCGGCCCCUAAGGCGAGGCCGAAAGGCGUAGUCGAUGGGAACCAGGUUAAUAUUCCUGGGCCAGGAGGAAGUGACGGAUCUCGAAGGUAGUUUGCCCUUAUCGGAUUGGGUGGGCUGCUCAGAGGUUCCAGGAAAUAGCCCUCCAUCAGACCGUACCCUAAACCGACACAGGUGGACUGGUAGAGUAUACCAAGGCGCUUGAGAGAACCACGUUAAAGGAACUCGGCAAAAUGCCUCCGUAAGUUCGCGAGAAGGAGGCCCCAUAUCUGGGCAACCAGGUGUGGGGGGCACAAACUAGGGGGUGGCGACUGUUUACUUAAAACACAGGGCUGUGCGAAGCCGUAAGGCGACGUAUACAGUCUGACGCCUGCCCGGUGCUGGAAGGUUAAAAGGAGGGGUGCAAGCUCUGAAUUGAAGCCCCAGUGAACGGCGGCCGUAACAAUAACGGUCCUAAGGUAGCGAAAUUCCUUGUCGGGUAAGUUCCGACCUGCACGAAUGGCGUAACGAUCUCCCCGCUGUCUCUAACGUGGACUCAGCGAAAUUGAACUGUGUGUCAAGAUGCACACUACCCGCGGUUAGACGGAAAGACCCCAUGCACCUUUACUCCAGCUUUGCACUGGUAUCAGGAUUGUGAUGUGCAGGAUAGGUGGUAGGCAUCGAAGCGGGGACGCCAGUUCUCGUGGAGCCUCCCUUGAGAUACCACCCUUCGCCAUCUUGAUAUCUAACCGCGGCCCGUUAUCCGGGUCCGGGACCCUGCAUGGUGGGGAGUUUGACUGGGGCGGUCGCCUCCCAAACAGUAACGGAGGCGCGCGAAGGUAGGCUCAGACCGGUCGGAAAUCGGUCGUUGAGUGCAAUGGCAGAAGCCUGCCUGACUGCAAGUCUGACAAGACGAGCAGAGACGAAAGUCGGUCAUAGUGAUCCGGUGGUCCCAAGUGGGAGGGCCAUCGCUCAACGGAUAAAAGGUACGCUGGGGAUAACAGGCUGAUGAUGCCCAAGAGUCCAUAUCGACGGCAUCGUUUGGCACCUCGAUGUCGGCUCAUCUCAUCCUGGGGCUGGAGCAGGUCCCAAGGGUAUGGCUGUUCGCCAUUUAAAGAGGUACGUGAGCUGGGUUUAGAACGUCGUGAGACAGUUCGGUCCCUAUCUGCCGUGGGUGUAGGAGACUUGAGAAGAGUUGCCCCUAGUACGAGAGGACCGGGGUGAACGAACCACUGGUGGACCAGUUGUCGUGCCAACGGCAGUGCGGGGUAGCUAUGUUCGGACAGGAUAACCGCUGAAGGCAUCUAAGCGGGAAGCCCCCUUCAAAACAAGGUCUCCCUUGAGAGCCGUGGAAGACCACCACGUCGAUAGGCCGGAGGUGUAAGUGCAGCAAUGCAUUCAGCUGACCGGUACUAAUUGCUCC